Molecule: ribosomal RNA, 439 nt
Filed under: uncultured bacterium
Lineage: Bacteria
Description: partial 16S ribosomal RNA
Rfam family: Bacterial small subunit ribosomal RNA
Source: RNAcentral
CUACGGGCCGCUGCAGUGAGGAAUAUUGCACAAUGGGGGGAACCCUGAUGCAGCAACGCCGCGUGGAGGAUGACGCAUUUCGGUGUGUAAACUCCUUUUAUAUGUCAAGAAAAUGACGGUAGCAUAUGAAUAAGCGCCGGCUAACUCCGUGCCAGCAGCCGCGGUAAUACGGAGGGCGCAAGCGUUACUCGGAAUCACUGGGCGUACAGGACGCGUAGGCGGGUUGAAAAGUAAGGUGUGAAAGCCUACAGCUUAACUGUAGAACUGCACUUGAAACUCUCAAUCUAGAGUAUGGGAGGGGCAGAUGGAAUUAGUGGUGUAGGGGUAAAAUCCGUAGAUAUCACUAGGAAUACCUAAAGCGAAGGCGAUCUGCUGGAACAUUACUGACGCUAAGGCGUGAAAGCGUGGGGAGCAAACAGGAUUAGAUACCCUUGUAGUC